This 447-nucleotide ribosomal RNA is filed under the name uncultured bacterium. RNAcentral describes it as "SSU rRNA". It matches the Rfam family "Bacterial small subunit ribosomal RNA", at positions 26 to 518 of the family's 1533-position model. The record is from RNAcentral.
AGAACGAACGCUGGCGGCAGGCUUAACACAUGCAAGUCGAACGCGUGUAGCAAUACACGAGUGGCGCACGGGUGAGUAACGCGUGGAUAUCUGCCUUUUGGUUCGGAAUAACCCCCGGGAAACUGGGGCUAAUACCGGAUGGUUCCUUCGGGAUAAAGAUUUAUCGCCAAAAGAUGAGUCCGCGUACGAUUAGCUAGUUGGUGAGGUAAUGGCUCACCAAGGCGACGAUCGUUAGCUGGUCUGAGAGGACGAUCAGCCACACUGGGACUGAGACACGGCCCAGACUCCUACGGGAGGCAGCAGUGGGGAAUAUUGGACAAUGGGCGCAAGCCUGAUCCAGCCAUGCCGCGUGAGUGAUGAAGGCCCUAGGGUUGUAAAGCUCUUUGUGCGGGAAGAUAAUGACGGUACCGCAAGAAUAAGCCCGGCUAACUUCGCGCCAGCAGCCGC